Non-coding RNA from Mus caroli (Ryukyu mouse), 73 nucleotides. The record is from the annotation of a RefSeq genome assembly. NCBI's taxonomy places the organism in Eukaryota, Metazoa, Chordata, Mammalia, Rodentia, Muridae.
GCUUGGCUAGCUCAGUCGGUAGAGCAUGAGACUCUUGCUCUCAGGGUCGUGGGUUCGAGCUUCACGUUAGGUA